AGUUUGAUCCUGGCUCAGGACGAACGCUGGCGGCGUGCUUAACACAUGCAAGUCGAACGAUGAAGCCCAGCUUGCUGGGUGGAUUAGUGGCGAACGGGUGAGUAACACGUGAGUAACCUGCCCUUGACUCUGGGAUAAGCGCUGGAAACGGCGUCUAAUACCGGAUAUGACAACCGACGGCAUCGUCUGGUUGUGGAAAGAAUUUUGGUCAAGGAUGGACUCGCGGCCUAUCAGCUUGUUGGUGAGGUAAUGGCUCACCAAGGCGACGACGGGUAGCCGGCCUGAGAGGGUGACCGGCCACACUGGGACUGAGACACGGCCCAGACUCCUACGGGAGGCAGCAGUGGGGAAUAUUGCACAAUGGGCGAAAGCCUGAUGCAGCAACGCCGCGUGAGGGACGACGGCCUUCGGGUUGUAAACCUCUUUUAGCAGGGAAGAAGCGAAAGUG
RNAcentral lists this ribosomal RNA (448 nucleotides) under Microbacteriaceae bacterium NBC4054. Its description in RNAcentral is "bacterial SSU rRNA". It matches the Rfam family "Bacterial small subunit ribosomal RNA", at positions 10 to 458 of the family's 1533-position model. The record is from RNAcentral. Lineage: Bacteria; Bacillati; Actinomycetota; Actinomycetes; Micrococcales; Microbacteriaceae.